RNAcentral lists this long non-coding RNA (4296 nucleotides) under Medicago truncatula (barrel medic). RNAcentral describes it as "long non-coding RNA (MTRU_LNC005523)". Lineage: Eukaryota; Viridiplantae; Streptophyta; Magnoliopsida; Fabales; Fabaceae. The record is from RNAcentral.
UCCUUUAGUGUAAUCAACGGAAUAAAAUUUAGCUUGAGCAUAACCACGUACAAAACGAAAAGCCCCAGUUCCACCAACAAUGGCCAUUUCUCUAACAGGUUCACUCAUGAUCAUAUUUCUACCCAAUAUGCUAAGUGUGCUUCCAUUGAAAUGUCCAUCAGUGAAUGUCAUGGUCAUCACCAUCAUUAGUCCCAUCUCCUCUUGUGAUAUAGAGGUGUAAAUUCCUUGAGCCUUACCCACAAGUUUUGAUUCACGUUCGGGUCCAGCCGUCAAGGGGUCAUCCAUCGCCACAACUGUCCCGAAUGGCAAGGCAUUUUUUACCUUGCCAUUGGGCUCAGCUACAAAUACCAUGCUAGGUUUUGGUCCUGACACGAUGUCGUGAAAGUAAAAAUGAAGGUGAGUGAAUUUCUCUUCUUGAAAACCCAGCAUUGUUGGGGAUAGGCUUUUAUAGUAAUUAGUGGCAGUGGCAAGGGAUAUUAUGGAGACGAAAGUAAGGUUCAAAGAAAUGAGAAUUGUGGAACAUGAUGAGAAUUUUGCCAUGGUUGAUGUGAAUGAACUAAGAAUGCUUUUUGUUGUUGUUGUUGAGGAUCGGAUAAUGAACUUAUAAGAAUGCUAUUACUAUGAAAAAUGUCUCUGAUCCGAUCAGUGGUAUAUUUCAAUUGGUUUGGAUACAUGCCUAUUUAUAUAAUAGGUGUGGCUGCUUCUUUCAUUUGUUUAUAAUAUUAUCUGUCUCAAGCUGAUGUUUCUUGACCAAAAACUUUAGAUAUAUGUCAAAAUACGGUAGAAAAAUGACAGACGCCAGAAACAUGUAAAAUGUUAGUUUUCUUAGCAAACGAAGCAUCCGAGAAAUAUAGUGAAAAAUUUAUAAGCUCAAUCAUAUUUUCUCAAAUUAAUUAUUAUUUUUUAGUAUAAAAUAAUUUGUCGUGUAAUCAAUAUGCUGAAACAAUUCUUCAUUGUUUGUGAGAUUAUGAAUUCGCAACCAUUUUCUGGAAAUCUAUUGGUUUUGUGGACCACCUAUUCUACCAAGGCGAUGACUUAUAAUAUGACUGGUUGCGGUAAGGAACGAUUGGCACCACUAUUUUUCUAUUUCUGGCUGCUUGUUGGUGGUUGUGGCGUGAGAGAAAUAAGUUGUAUUUUGCAAAUGAAUUGGUGUCUUCCUUCACCUUAAGGCACACCACUUUUAAUUAUAUGCUCAGUUGUUAUCGAAGUGUUUCCUUAAACAGGGGCAUGAAUCUGCCACGAGGUCGGUAAAGUGGAAUGUGUCCUAUGUGAAUGGCAUGAUUUUAUAUGUUGAUGGGUGCAGUCUUGGUAACCCCGGUGUCUCCGGGUUUGGCGGUUUGCUUCGUAAUGAUGAUGGUGCUUGGUAUUGCGGAUUUGCAGGUAAGAUUGGGUUUUCCAAUAUCCUGCAUGCAGAACUCUUGGCAGUUUAUCAUGGAUUGAGAUUGGCUUGGGAAUUUGGCAUGUCAGAGUUGGUGUGUUAUUAAGAUUCUAAAACAGCAAUCAAGUGGAUUAAGCAACCUGUUAACGGAAGGUAAUGUCUGUGUUGAUUACCUUGCAAAGAUUGAGGCUAGCUCUCAUGAGGCACGCCAGUCUUUUGUUGCACCUCCAGCUGGAAUCAGCAACCUCCUACUAGCAAAUGCGAGUGGGAUCUUUUUCCCUAGAUAGUUGUUUCUUCUUUUUGUUUUUCUUUUUGCAUUUUGUUACCAAAAAAUAAAUAAUGAUUUGAUAUGAGUAAAAUCAUUUAGGAUAAUUUUCAUUUCUAAAAAAAUGGGAUGACAUUAGUUAUAAUUGGGAAAGAAAAGUUAAAAAGUUUUGUAUUGAUCAAGAAUUCAAGACCCUCUCUAUUUUUUAAAGAAAUUGUGGGCUCUAUUUAUGAAAUGGAAAUACGCACUCAAGAAUUUAGUGGAUCUCAUAUUUAGCUGGACCUAUAUUUUGUGACUCAUCAAACUCCUUAAUGUGAUUUUUUCCGCUCAUUAACGAAACCAUCCAUUUCUUUGAGAAAUAAAGAUGAUAUUUUUACCAUCUUAAUCCAUUUGAUGGUACCCACCAAUUAAUAUCAUUUUUCGUGCUGAUAUAUCUUCAAAUGGAAUCAUUAAUUUCGUUUGAGAAAUGGAUAUGACCUUGUUGGAGCAAUAUUUAAGAAUGGUUCAAAAGUAUUUAAGCUACCGAGAAAAAUUACUGCCAUGAGUCGUCGACUAGGACACUCUUUUUAAAACUAUCAACUAUGACAUCCCAAUAUAAAACAACACAUCUACAAUUGUAUUUGAAUCAUACUACAUUGUAAGAUACUAAGAUCCAUUCUAGAAAUACACCUUUAAAAUGGUACUUAGACCACUUAAUAUGAUACCGAGACCACUCUAACUUCCGAAGGAACAAAUUAAUCGAAGGGGCAGAAAAGGAGAAGAAAGAAAAUCCGUUGAUAGAUGAGUUUUGGUGUGAAGAGAAGUUAGGGUGAGACAUUAUUUUAUUAGUGCAAGAGCCAAAGAGGCAACCAAAAUGGAGGGAUGGGAUCAGUUGACCAUCAUGGGAUCAACGACAUGAUCUCACCUCAUUAAGAAUUGGCGCAGAAAUGAGUUUGCAUUUGCAAAUCACAAGAGGACAAGAGGACUCACACGUUGGUGUUUUCAAACACAUGUUGAUGCGUGCAAACCUGUGACGAGAAGAAGACAUGUACCAAAUAAAAUUAAUUCCAAAAAAUUAAUUAAUUUAAGAUUUCGGAUCUUUAAAAAAUAAUACACAACUUAGUCCAAACUCAUGCCCAGAUCCGACCUGACGACAUCAUUGUCUUCACGUGUGUAGUGUUGAAAUUGAUUGCAUCAUCUCCCCUUUAAAAAAUUGGAUAUCUCUUUGGGGCAAGCCCCAAGAGCCCUUCCUCCAAUAUAUAAAUACUUGUGUUGUGAGAAGUAUCUCCAAUGUGGGACUUGUCGAAAUUUUUUAAUUCACACACAAACACACUUUUGUUCUUAAUUCAAUUUUUCACUUGAAUUUAAAAUAACUCGGAAGUUUCUUUUAAGAUUGUGCAUAAGUAGAUGUGUUUUGCAACUUGAACAAUUGUAUAGUGAAUAAGAUUCAGAUUUAUUAGAGUGACUCGUAAUCUUAAACUCUAUCUCUAAUAUCAAAACGUACACAAUAUUUUCUUAUGUGUAUUUUCAAAAAGUUUGUCCAUUAAGACCUUACAUAUCAAUCUUGAUUUAACAAAUGCUCUACGAAUUUUUCCUAGAAUUUCAUAGGAAUAGACCCUGACUUGCACAUUCACAAAGGUCCGUAUGUCAAGAGUACUGCUCUUAUAUCAGAGUAUUCCACUUUGCGUAAAUGUACGUAUGUCAAGGGUACUCUUGUAUCAAAGUACUCCACUCUACAUAGAGUAAAAAUCUCAUGAACAAUUUCCUUUAAUUCACGUCCUCUUUAUCGCUUUAGAAAUCAUGUUUUUAUGUUCUCCUUCUGUUACCUCACAACAUAUGUUUAAUCGCCUACUAAAAGCAUAAGUGAAUAGUUUCAUUGUUGAAUAAAAUAUUACAGAAGCAGAUAUAAUGUUUAAACCCACACACAAAAACUUAUAUAUGUUAAAAAAAUCACUAAACAAAAUAACUAAAAAAUAUGUCUUCAAAGAUAACUUUUCACUAGUAUGUAUAGUACGCUAUACCGACUCGUUAAAAUAGAAAUGGAAUAUCACGAGACUCACAAGUCACAAUGCUAGCAAUUCAAAUAAUGGUCCUUUGUCCCUUUGGAGGAAACACUAUAAUGAGUCUGAAGAUAUCUAUUUCUUUAGUGGUAUAUUAAAGUGACAAUAAUUAACAAUGUAUACUGAAUUUAAUAACCAAUGUGGUAUUACAAUGUUUAUUUCAUCGGUUUGCCUUUCACAUUGGGUGAGAGUUUGACAAGAACAAAAUAAUAAUAAAUGUAAAAUAAUCUCUACUUUUAUGAAGCACCUAUGCCUAACUAAUAAUGGAACACAAAUAUGUCAUAUUCUACAACGGCAUCUCCUUUUGUAUAAUCAACCGAAUAAAACUUAGCCUGAGCAUAUCCACGUACGAAACGAAAUGCCCCGGUUCCACCAACUAUGGCCAUUUCUCUAACAGGUUCACUCAUGAUCAUGUUUCUACCCAAUAUGCUAAGUGUGCUUCCAUUAAAAUGUCCAUCAGUGAAUGCCAUGGUCAUCACCAUCAUUAGUCCCAUCUCCUCUUGUGAUAUAGAAGUGUAAAUUCCUUGAGCCUUACCCACAAGUUUCGAGUCACGUUCGGGCCCAGCCGUCAAUGGAUCGUCCAUGGCCACAACCGUCCCGAAUGGCAACGCAUU